UUUCCGUAGGUGAACCUGCGGAAGGAUCAUUAAUGAGUUGUCAUGGGGUUCGAUGCUGGCAGCCAAUUUUUGGAUGCAUGUGCUUGCCCUAACAAUCAUCUUCCAAACACCUGUGCACAUUUUUGAGGAAGUCUUGAGUUGGUUGCCGCUCUUGGGUGAUUUUCUCACAUUCCCUUAAAUCAUUAUACGCUAUUAACAAUGUUGAACGUGCUCUGUGCCGCAAGGCUAUUAAUAUAAUACAACUUUUAACAACGGAUCUCUUGGCUCUC
RNAcentral lists this unclassified non-coding RNA (269 nucleotides) under plant metagenome. RNAcentral describes it as "partial contains small subunit ribosomal RNA, internal transcribed spacer 1, and 5.8S ribosomal RNA". The record is from RNAcentral.